This 862-nucleotide ribosomal RNA is filed under the name uncultured archaeon. Its description in RNAcentral is "bacterial SSU rRNA". It matches the Rfam family "Archaeal small subunit ribosomal RNA", at positions 1 to 870 of the family's 1478-position model. The record is from RNAcentral.
UUUUCCGGUUGAUCCUGCCGGACCCGACUGCUAUCAGAGUGGGGUUAAGCCAUGCGAGUUAACGUAGCAAUACGUGGCAUACGGCUCAGUAACACGUAGUCAACAUGCCCAGGGGACGUGGAUAACCUCGGGAAACUGAGGAUAAACCGCGAUAGGCCAAGAUUUCUGGAAUGAAUCAUGGUUUAAAUCUAUAUGGCCCCUGGAUUGGACUGCGGCCGAUCAGGCUGUUGGUGAGGUAAUGGCCCACCAAACCUGUAACCGGUACGGGCUCUGAGAGGAGGAGCCCGGAGAUGGGCACUUAGACAAGGGCCCAGGCCCUAUGGGGCGCAGCAGGCGCGAAACCUCUGCAAUAAGCGAAAGCUUGACAGGGUUACUCUGAGUGAUUUCCGCUAAGGAAGUCUUUUGGCACCUCUAAAAAUGGUGCAGAAUAAGGGGUGGGCAAGUCUGGUGUCAGCCGCCGCGGUAAUACCAGCACCCCGAGUGGUCGGGACGAUUAUUGGGCCUAAAGCAUCCGUAGCCGGUCCUGCAAGUCCUCCGUUAAAUCCACCCGCUCAACGGUUGGGCCGCGGGGGAUACUACAGGGCUAGGAGGCGGGAGAGGCAAGCGGUACUCGAUGGGUAGGGGUAAAAUCCACUGAUCCAUUGAAGACCACCAGUGGCGAAGGCGGCUUGCCAGAACGCGCUCGACGGUGAGGGAUGAAAGCUGGGGGAGCAAACCGGAUUAGAUACCCGGGUAGUCCCAGCUGUAAACGAUGCAGACUCGGUGAUGGGCUGGCUUCGUGCCAACCCGGUGCCGCAGGGAAGCCGUUAAGUCUGCCGCCUGGGGAGUACGGUCGCAAGACUGAAACUUAAAGGAAUUGGCG